This 208-nucleotide ribosomal RNA is filed under the name uncultured Stenotrophomonas sp. RNAcentral's name for it is "partial 16S ribosomal RNA". It matches the Rfam family "Bacterial small subunit ribosomal RNA", at positions 144 to 354 of the family's 1533-position model. Lineage: Bacteria; Pseudomonadati; Pseudomonadota; Gammaproteobacteria; Lysobacterales; Lysobacteraceae. The record is from RNAcentral.
UAACGUAGGGAAACUUACGCUAAUACCGCAUACGACCUACGGUGAAAGCAGGGAUCUUCGGACCUUGCGCGAUUGAAUGAGCCGAUGUCGGAUUAGCUAGUUGGCGGGGUAAAGGCCCACCAAGGCGACGAUCCGUAGCUGGUCUGAGAGGAUGAUCAGCCACACUGGAACUGAGACACGGUCCAGACUCCUACGGGAGGCAGCAGAG